Molecule: ribosomal RNA, 2256 nt
Filed under: human gut metagenome
Description: bacterial LSU rRNA
Rfam family: Bacterial large subunit ribosomal RNA
Source: RNAcentral
AGGGCGUACGGCGAAUGCCUGGCCACUCGAAACUGAAGAAGGACGCGCCAAACUGCGAAAAGCUCCGUGAAGCUGUAAGGAAGCGAAGAAGCGGAGGUGUCCGAAUGGGGGAACCCGGCAGCAGACAUGAGCUGUCAUCUGCAGGUGAAUACAUGGCCUGCAAGAGAGGUACCCGGCGAACUGAAACAUCUAAGUAGCCGGAGGAAAAGAAAACAACAGUGAUUCCCUGAGUAGCGGCGAGCGAAAGGGGAGAAGCCCAAACCGGUUGAAGGACCGGGGUUGAAGGACCAUGAGAUGGCAAGAACGAGGAUAGGAGAACGGGAUCGAAAGCCCGGCCGAAGAAGGUGAAAGCCCUGUAACCGAAAUCCGAGGAAAGCCUAAUGGGAUCCUGAGUACGGCGAGACACGAGGAAUCUUGUCGGAAGCAGGCGGGACCAUCCGCCAAGGCUAAAUAUAAACGAGUGAGCGAUAGUGAACCAGUACCGUGAGGGAAAGGUGAAAAGAACCGCGGGAGCGGAGUGAAAGAGAACCUGAAACCGUAUGCCUACAAGAAGUCAGAGCCCGUUAAGGGGUGAUGGCGUGCCUUUUGUAGAAUGAACCGGCGAGUUGCGACAGACUGCGAGGUUAAGGAGGAAAGACCGGAGCCGAAGCGAAAGCGAGUCUUAAGAGGGCGAAAGUAGGAUGUUGCAGACCCGAAACCGGGUGAUCUAGCCAUGAGCAGGUUGAAGUUGAGGUGAAACUCAAUGGAGGACCGAACCGACUACCGUUGAAAAGUUAGCGGAUGACUUGUGGCUAGGGGAGAAAUUCCAAUCGAACCCGGAGAUAGCUGGUUCUCCCCGAAAUAGCUUUAGGGCUAGCGUUGGAAAGAACCUUAGUGAAGGUAGAGCACUGAAUGUGUGAUGGCCCCAUCCCGGGGUACUGAAUACAAUCAAACUGCGAAUGUCAUUAAGGAUGUCCGGCAGUCAGACUGUGAGUGAUAAGGUCCAUGGUCAAGAGGGAAACAGCCCAGACCGCCAGUUAAGGUCCCAAAAUACAGGCUAAGUGGAAAAGGAUGUGGGGAUGCCCAGACAACUAGGAGGUUGGCUCAGAAGCAGCCAUCCUUUAAAGAGUGCGUAACAGCUCACUAGUCGAGUGACCCUGCGCCGAAAAUGUACCGGGGCUAAGCCUGAUACCGAAACUGCGGAUUGUAGGAAACUAUAGUGGUAGGGGAGCGUUGUAUACGAGCAGAAGCCGUACCGUGAGGAGCGGUGGAUUGUAUAGAAGUGAGAAUGCCGGUGUGAGUAGCGAGAUGUAGGUGAGAAUCCUACACACCGAAAGCCCAAGGAUUCCAGGGGAAGGUUCGUCCGCCCUGGGUAAGUCGGGACCUAACGCGAGGCCGAAAGGCGUAGUGGAUGGAAAGCAGGCGAAAGAUUCCUGCACCCGUAUAUGGAGCGAAGGAGUGACGGAGACGGAUAGUGUGACCCUCUUAAUGGAUUGAGGGCGAAGCGAAGCGGCUGGUUACCAGGCAAAUCCGGUAACCUCAAGGCUAGGGCGUGACAGGCAAGCGAAAUCCAAGGAAAGUAGCGAAGCACAUGAUGACGGCUUCCAGGAAAAGCUUCUGGCAAUGCAUAUGCGGCCCGUACCAAAACCGACACAGGUGGGCAGGGAGAGAAUCCCGAGGUGAGCGAGAGAACUGUUGCCAAGGAACUCGGCAAAAUGACUCCGUAAGUUAGCGAGAAGGAGUGCUUAAGCAAUUAAGCCGCAGUGAAGAGGCCCAAGCGACUGUUUAACUAAAACACAGCUCUCUGCGAAGUCGCAAGACGAAGUAUAGGGGGUGACACCUGCCCGGUGCUGGAAGGUUAAGAGGAUCUGUUAAGAGCGAUCUGAAGCAGUGAUCCGAAGCCCCAGUGAACGGCGGCCGUAACUAUAACGGUCCUAAGGUAGCGAAAUUCCUUGUCAGGUAAGUUCUGACCCGCACGAAAGGUGUAACGAUUUGGGCGCUGUCUCGGCAGCAGACUCGGUGAAAUCUUAGUACCUGUGAAAAUGCAGGUUACCCGCAACUAGACGGAAAGACCCCAUGGAGCUUUACUGCAGCCUGAUAUUGAAUUCUGGUCAUACAUGUACAGGAUAGGUGGGAGACAAAGAGACGUGCACGCCAGUGUACGAGGAGUCGGCGUUGGGAUACCACUCUUGUGUGACCGGGGUUCUAACCUGGUAUCGAGAACAGGUACGGGGAGAGUGUCAGGUGGGCAGUUUGACUGGGGCGGUCGCCUCCCAA